Long non-coding RNA from Pelobates fuscus (common spadefoot toad), 283 nucleotides. RefSeq lists it as uncharacterized. The transcript has 3 exons. The record is from RefSeq and is a predicted model, not a curated record. NCBI's taxonomy places the organism in Eukaryota, Metazoa, Chordata, Amphibia, Anura, Pelobatidae.
CUUCAAGUACAAGCAAAGCAGGAGUGUUGUUCUUUAUCUGAAACAACUCAAUCUUCAAAUUGAAGCAGCAACUGCUAAGCUUAAAACAUUUUCUACUGAAUGCCUGGAACUCGACCAAUUUACAGAAAAAAAUGACUUGCAACAAAAGGUGAUAGAAAUGAAAAAUGAGUUGCUGUGGAUUCAGAAAUCCUAUGAUGUUGAACGCUGCCAGAAAUGGGUCAAGCAUGCUCGAAAAGUUCAAAAGAAAACUAAGGACAUUAUCUGGCAGAAAAUACAGGAUCGU